AUUGAACGCUGGCGGCAUGCCUAACACAUGCAAGUCGAACGGCAGCGCGGACUUCGGUCUGGCGGCGAGUGGCGAACGGGCGAGUAAUACAUCGGAACGUACCCUGCUGUGGGGGAUAACUAGUCGAAAGAUAAGCUAAUACCGCAUACGACCAGAGGGUGAAAGGGGGGGACCGCAAGUCCUCACGCAGCAGGAGCGGCCGAUGUCAGAUUAGCUAGUUGGUGGGGUAAAGGCCCACCAAGGCGACGAUCCGUAGCUGGUCUGAGAGGCCGAUCGGCCACACUGGAACUGAGACACGGCCCAGACUCCUACGGGAGGCAGCAGUGGGGAAUUUUGGGCAAUGGGGGCAACCCUGACCCAGCAAUGCCGCGUGUGUGACGAAGGUCUUCGGGUUGUAAAGCACUUUUGUUCGGAAAGAACAUGCGUUGGUUAAUACGUGGCGUGGAUGACGGUACCGGAUGAAUAAGCACCGGCUAACUACGUG
Molecule: ribosomal RNA, 484 nt
Filed under: uncultured bacterium
Lineage: Bacteria
Description: partial 16S ribosomal RNA
Rfam family: Bacterial small subunit ribosomal RNA
Source: RNAcentral